RNAcentral lists this ribosomal RNA (470 nucleotides) under Shigella sonnei. RNAcentral describes it as "bacterial SSU rRNA". It matches the Rfam family "Bacterial small subunit ribosomal RNA", at positions 657 to 1126 of the family's 1533-position model. Lineage: Bacteria; Pseudomonadati; Pseudomonadota; Gammaproteobacteria; Enterobacterales; Enterobacteriaceae. The record is from RNAcentral.
GGGGGUAGAAUUCCAGGUGUAGCGGUGAAAUGCGUAGAGAUCUGGAGGAAUAUCGGUGGCGAAGGCGGCCCCCUGGACGAAGACUGACGCUCAGGUGCGAAAGCGUGGGGAGCAAACAGGAUUAGAUACCCUGGUAGUCCACGCCGUAAACGAUGUCGACUUGGAGGUUGUGCCCUUGAGGCGUGGCUUCCGGAGCUAACGCGUUAAGUCGACCGCCUGGGGAGUACGGCCGCAAGGUUAAAACUCAAAUGAAUUGACGGGGGCCCGCACAAGCGGUGGAGCAUGUGGUUUAAUUCGAUGCAACGCGAAGAACCUUACCUGGUCUUGACAUCCACGGAAGUUUUCAGAGAUGAGAAUGUGCCUUCGGGAACCGUGAGACAGGUGCUGCAUGGCUGUCGUCAGCUCGUGUUGUGAAAUGUUGGGUUAAGUCCCGCAACGAGCGCAACCCUUAUCCUUUGUUGCCAGCGGUC